CAAAUCCUCUCAACUCUCUCUCUCUAGAAAUAAGUCCGGCGAGAAUUCCGGCCGACUCCCGGCGGAGCUCCGGCGACCGGCGACUUUCAGGCGGAGAUCCGGCAACCAACGAUUUUCCGGCGAAUUUUCCGGCGGCCGUUUUUCGGUCAAGAGUACACUUUUUCGACUAUAUCCGACGUUCCGGAUCGCGUGGUGAGAUGCUUAGAUCGGGACUUGAGGAGCAUUUCUGCAAAUUUUCAAGAAAUUUUAUUCUCCGGCGAAAUUCCGACUUCUGACAUGGUUUUGGCGAGGUUCCAACCGUCCGUUUUCGACGAAAAUUAUAUUUUUGGGCUCCUAGUGACCCGUAGAGUCCAUACGAAACACUUUCGUCUCGGGUGAAAAUUUAAGUUCGGGACGCUCUCGGGCUCGGGUCAACGCAGUCAACAGGUCAAACACGGGUCAAGAGGCAGUUUUGGGUCAUUUUUAGUGCCUCGGUUCAGUUUCGGGUCCGGUCAACCCUGGUCAACACGGGUCAAACGUGGUCAAAGGUGGUCAAAGCUGGUCAAACUCAGUCAACUGCUGGUCAACACAGUCAACUAAGUCAACACGAGGCUCGGAAUACUAUAGAUGCACGCUAGCCAAAUCACGUCCUUGGAACGACACUACGGAAUCACGCUAGGCUAGCAUUCCACAUGGAAGUCCAGGUUGCAUUUUUAAGACUAUGGAACGGUUGGAAUAGGAGAACCCAUGGGAAUUU
Long non-coding RNA from Helianthus annuus (common sunflower), 736 nucleotides. RefSeq lists it as uncharacterized. The transcript is spliced from 4 exons. The record is from RefSeq and is a predicted model, not a curated record. Lineage: Eukaryota; Viridiplantae; Streptophyta; Magnoliopsida; Asterales; Asteraceae.